RNAcentral lists this ribosomal RNA (253 nucleotides) under uncultured bacterium. RNAcentral describes it as "partial 16S ribosomal RNA". It matches the Rfam family "Bacterial small subunit ribosomal RNA", at positions 524 to 776 of the family's 1533-position model. The record is from RNAcentral.
UACGGAGGGGGCUAGCGUUGUUCGGAAUUACUGGGCGUAAAGCGCGCGUAGGCGGCUUUGUAAGUUAGAGGUGAAAGCCCGGGGCUCAACCCCGGAACUGCCUUUAAGACUGCAUCGCUUGAAUCCGGGAGAGGUGAGUGGAAUUCCGAGUGUAGAGGUGAAAUUCGUAGAUAUUCGGAAGAACACCAGUGGCGAAGGCGGCUCACUGGACCGGCAUUGACGCUGAGGUGCGAAAGCGUGGGGAGCGAACGGG